RNAcentral lists this ribosomal RNA (2902 nucleotides) under mixed sample. RNAcentral describes it as "bacterial LSU rRNA". It matches the Rfam family "Bacterial large subunit ribosomal RNA". The record is from RNAcentral.
UUAAGCGACUAAGCGUACACGGUGGAUGCCCUGGCAGUCAGAGGCGAUGAAGGACGUGCUAAUCUGCGAUAAGCGUCGGUAAGGUGAUAUGAACCGUUAUAACCGGCGAUUUCCGAAUGGGGAAACCCAGUGUGUUUCGACACACUAUCAUUAACUGAAUCCAUAGGUUAAUGAGGCGAACCGGGGGAACUGAAACAUCUAAGUACCCCGAGGAAAAGAAAUCAACCGAGAUUCCCCCAGUAGCGGCGAGCGAACGGGGAGCAGCCCAGAGCCUGAAUCAGUGUGUGUGUUAGUGGAAGCGUCUGGAAAGGCGCGCGAUACAGGGUGACAGCCCCGUACACAAAAAUGCACAUGCUGUGAGCUCGAUGAGUAGGGCGGGACACGUGGUAUCCUGUCUGAAUAUGGGGGGACCAUCCUCCAAGGCUAAAUACUCCUGACUGACCGAUAGUGAACCAGUACCGUGAGGGAAAGGCGAAAAGAACCCCGGCGAGGGGAGUGAAAAAGAACCUGAAACCGUGUACGUACAAGCAGUGGGAGCACGCUUAGGCGUGUGACUGCGUACCUUUUGUAUAAUGGGUCAGCGACUUAUAUUCUGUAGCAAGGUUAACCGAAUAGGGGAGCCGAAGGGAAACCGAGUCUUAACUGGGCGUUAAGUUGCAGGGUAUAGACCCGAAACCCGGUGAUCUAGCCAUGGGCAGGUUGAAGGUUGGGUAACACUAACUGGAGGACCGAACCGACUAAUGUUGAAAAAUUAGCGGAUGACUUGUGGCUGGGGGUGAAAGGCCAAUCAAACCGGGAGAUAGCUGGUUCUCCCCGAAAGCUAUUUAGGUAGCGCCUCGUGAAUUCAUCUCCGGGGGUAGAGCACUGUUUCGGCAAGGGGGUCAUCCCGACUUACCAACCCGAUGCAAACUGCGAAUACCGGAGAAUGUUAUCACGGGAGACACACGGCGGGUGCUAACGUCCGUCGUGAAGAGGGAAACAACCCAGACCGCCAGCUAAGGUCCCAAAGUCAUGGUUAAGUGGGAAACGAUGUGGGAAGGCCCAGACAGCCAGGAUGUUGGCUUAGAAGCAGCCAUCAUUUAAAGAAAGCGUAAUAGCUCACUGGUCGAGUCGGCCUGCGCGGAAGAUGUAACGGGGCUAAACCAUGCACCGAAGCUGCGGCAGCGACGCUUAUGCGUUGUUGGGUAGGGGAGCGUUCUGUAAGCCUGCGAAGGUGUGCUGUGAGGCAUGCUGGAGGUAUCAGAAGUGCGAAUGCUGACAUAAGUAACGAUAAAGCGGGUGAAAAGCCCGCUCGCCGGAAGACCAAGGGUUCCUGUCCAACGUUAAUCGGGGCAGGGUGAGUCGACCCCUAAGGCGAGGCCGAAAGGCGUAGUCGAUGGGAAACAGGUUAAUAUUCCUGUACUUGGUGUUACUGCGAAGGGGGGACGGAGAAGGCUAUGUUGGCCGGGCGACGGUUGUCCCGGUUUAAGCGUGUAGGCUGGUUUUCCAGGCAAAUCCGGAAAAUCAAGGCUGAGGCGUGAUGACGAGGCACUACGGUGCUGAAGCAACAAAUGCCCUGCUUCCAGGAAAAGCCUCUAAGCAUCAGGUAACAUCAAAUCGUACCCCAAACCGACACAGGUGGUCAGGUAGAGAAUACCAAGGCGCUUGAGAGAACUCGGGUGAAGGAACUAGGCAAAAUGGUGCCGUAACUUCGGGAGAAGGCACGCUGAUAUGUAGGUGAAGCGACUUGCUCGUGGAGCUGAAAUCAGUCGAAGAUACCAGCUGGCUGCAACUGUUUAUUAAAAACACAGCACUGUGCAAACACGAAAGUGGACGUAUACGGUGUGACGCCUGCCCGGUGCCGGAAGGUUAAUUGAUGGGGUUAGCGCAAGCGAAGCUCUUGAUCGAAGCCCCGGUAAACGGCGGCCGUAACUAUAACGGUCCUAAGGUAGCGAAAUUCCUUGUCGGGUAAGUUCCGACCUGCACGAAUGGCGUAAUGAUGGCCAGGCUGUCUCCACCCGAGACUCAGUGAAAUUGAACUCGCUGUGAAGAUGCAGUGUACCCGCGGCAAGACGGAAAGACCCCGUGAACCUUUACUAUAGCUUGACACUGAACAUUGAGCCUUGAUGUGUAGGAUAGGUGGGAGGCUUUGAAGUGUGGACGCCAGUCUGCAUGGAGCCGACCUUGAAAUACCACCCUUUAAUGUUUGAUGUUCUAACGUUGACCCGUAAUCCGGGUUGCGGACAGUGUCUGGUGGGUAGUUUGACUGGGGCGGUCUCCUCCUAAAGAGUAACGGAGGAGCACGAAGGUUGGCUAAUCCUGGUCGGACAUCAGGAGGUUAGUGCAAUGGCAUAAGCCAGCUUGACUGCGAGCGUGACGGCGCGAGCAGGUGCGAAAGCAGGUCAUAGUGAUCCGGUGGUUCUGAAUGGAAGGGCCAUCGCUCAACGGAUAAAAGGUACUCCGGGGAUAACAGGCUGAUACCGCCCAAGAGUUCAUAUCGACGGCGGUGUUUGGCACCUCGAUGUCGGCUCAUCACAUCCUGGGGCUGAAGCCGGUCCCAAGGGUAUGGCUGUUCGCCAUUUAAAGUGGUACGCGAGCUGGGUUUAGAACGUCGUGAGACAGUUCGGUCCCUAUCUGCCGUGGGCGCUGGAGAACUGAGGGGGGCUGCUCCUAGUACGAGAGGACCGGAGUGGACGCAUCACUGGUGUUCGGGUUGUCAUGCCAAUGGCACUGCCCGGUAGCUAAAUGCGGAAGAGAUAAGUGCUGAAAGCAUCUAAGCACGAAACUUGCCCCGAGAUGAGUUCUCCCUGACUCCUUGAGAGUCCUGAAGGAACGUUGAAGACGACGACGUUGAUAGGCCGGGUGUGUAAGCGCAGCGAUGCGUUGAGCUAACCGGUACUAAUGAACCGUGAGGCUUAACCUU